UUCAGUACCAACCAUACAUAACACCAGGUUUAGUGUUCAGUACCAACCAUACAUAACACCAGGUUUAGUGUUCAGUACCAACCAUACAUAACACCAGGUUUAGUGUUCAGUACCAACCAUACAUAACACCAGGUUUAGUGUUCAAUACCAACCAUACAUAACACCAGGUUUAGUGUUCAGUACCAACCAUACAUAACACCAGGUGUAGUGUUCAGUACCAACCAUACAUAACACCAGUUUUAGUGUUCAGUACCAACCAUACAUAACCCCAGGUUUAGUGUUCAGUACCAACCAUACAUAACCCCAGGUUUAGUGUUCAAUACCAACCAUACAUAACACCAGGUUUAGUGUUCAGUACCAACCCUACAUAACCCCAGGUUUAGUGUUCAGUACCAACCCUACAUAACCCCAGGUUUAGUGUUCAGUACCAACCAUACAUAACACCAGGUUUAGUGUUCAGUACCAACCAUACAUAACACCAGGUUUAGUGUUCAGUACCAACCAUACAUAACCCCAGGUUUAGUGUUCAGUACCAACCAUACAUAACACCAGGUUUAGUGUUCAGUACCAACCAUACAUAACCCCAGGUUUAGUGUUCAGUACCAACCAUACAUAACACCAGGUUUAGUGUUCAGUACCAACCAUACAUAACACCAGCUUUAGUGUUCAAUACCAACCAUACAUAACACCAGGUUUAGUGUUCAGUACCAACCAUACAUAACACCAGCUUUAGUGUUCAAUACCAACCAUACAUAACACCAGGUUUAGUGUUCAGUACCAACCAUACAUAACACCAGGGUUAGUGUUCAGUACCAACCAUACAUAACACCAGACUUAUGUCACAAGGUUGUUGUUGGAAGUAGUGUGUAAGAAAUAACUACAGCUCAGAUGUUUAUGGACAGUGAUAGAUUUCUUACCAUAUCUUUUGUACCUGUGAUCAACAUGCAUCAUUUUAACCAGCACAAUGUACCUUUAGUAUGAUUGGGACAAAUGUUUUGUAGUCUUGUAUAUACGGUUAACCUUUAUUUUAGACAUAGUGGUGUAUAUUUUCCUGUCAUCAAGACAAGCUAACUUGGGAUGAGGUUGGGAGUCAGGGUAGCUGUAGUAAUUGUACUUAAAUGUGAACAUGUUGUGAGAAGUAGGAGUAAAUUGUGUAAUAAAAGUAAAAGUGGCUCUCAUAGA
Molecule: long non-coding RNA, 1182 nt
Organism: Branchiostoma floridae (Florida lancelet)
Lineage: Eukaryota; Metazoa; Chordata; Leptocardii; Amphioxiformes; Branchiostomatidae
Exons: 2
Source: RefSeq, a predicted model, not a curated record